Molecule: ribosomal RNA, 377 nt
Filed under: uncultured eukaryote
Lineage: Eukaryota
Description: partial 18S ribosomal RNA
Rfam family: Eukaryotic small subunit ribosomal RNA
Source: RNAcentral
CAAUAGCGUAUAUUUAAGUUGUUGCAGUUAAAAAGCUCGUAGUUGGAUUUCGGGUGGGACGCAGCGGUCUCGCAUUGCGUUUGUACUGCUGCAGCCCUCCUUCUUGCCGGGGGCGGCCUCUCGGACUUCACUGUCUGGGGGUCAGAAUCGGCGAUGUUACUUUGAGUAAAUUAGAGUGUUCAAAGCAAGCUUACGCUCUGAAUAUAAUAGCAUGGGAUAACACGACAGGACUCUGGCCUAUCGUGUUGGUCUAUAGGACCAGAGUAAUGAUUAAGAGGGACAGUCGGGGGCAUUCGUAUUCCGUUGUCAGAGGUGAAAUUCUUGGAUUUACGGAAGACGAACAUCUGCGAAAGCGUUUGCCCAGGAUGUUUNCAUUG